CUGGUCUCAGUCGACUCCGUGGACGAGACGAGGAGUUUCUCCACACAGACGGUGCCUGACACGCUGGUCCACCGCUGCCACUUCCAAGACACCGACCUCAUUGCAUCGCUUUGAAGUGUAGAGGUCCAGGGUUGCCAUGGACCGAGGUUUUCUUUGCUGCCAUGACAACGUAGGCUCUCUUUGGUCUCCCCUAACGACAGCAGAGUGGAACAGACAGCGCCUCGGAGAUGGAGAUGCUGUUGGACGGUGCACACGCAGCUGAAGUCCCCUGUCCUAACCUUUGCUGAGGAAGUGCAGUGGCCUAAGAGGCACUCAGCUCUAUUACUCAAGAAAAGGCACCAAUACACCAAGGUGAUUAAUGAGGCAAAGGCACCAAACUGCAGCUUUUUCAAGUGAACCCAAGCCUAAAGGUCAAGAACCUCUGACAGUGUGUUAUUUGUUAUGUAAAGUAUUUAAUGGUGGCUAGUAAUAUUAUCUCUCCAAUAAAUGUAGCGGAGUAAAUAGUAUGAUGUUGCAAAAAUCUUCAGUGAAUACUUCUCCUUUAUCUAUCAUCUGUGACAGUUGUGUUUGCAUGGGAUAUUUAUAUUGUUACCAGUGUUCUGCUCGCAUGUCUACCUCCUGAAUAUUUGCAUCGUGAACAGACUCGGCUGCCGGAAUAUUUCUAAACCAAACUGGCAGCCGACCCGGUCACGCUGAUUUAAUUUUGGUGAACUGAAGGAGGAAAUGUCAGAUGAAUAAACAUCUUGCUUCUAAUUGGAACGAUGAUAACAGGAAAUGACCUCAGUACAAACUGAAAAAAGAAGUUCAACUAUAUAAUCACGUAGAGCUUUUGUUUUUGUGUUAAUAGAAUUUGUCCGUUCUUACCUUAAGUCUCUCGGACACCCCGUCAGUGAAGCUGAUGGUGAACUCCUCCACCUUGGGAACCUUCAGUCUCUUCUUCUCUGUCUGGUACUCUGUGCGAGUUUUCACCACCACCUGCAGGAGGGAGAACCGGUUCAAGCAGUGAGACACAGAGAGAUGCUGCAGUGAGGAAUAGACUUAGACCGAUGCAUUAAAAGGCGUUAAUGUUUAAGAUGUAGAAAACAAGAGGCAGAGGCACAUAAAUGAUGGAAUAUAUUUGAGAACACUGUGUCCAGGACACUAUGAGCCGAGUAAGAAGACCUAAAAAAAUAAAAUAUGAAGAUGAGAAAAGACUGCACAGGCUAAGGGUGUAUCUGUCCAUGCGUAUAAAUAAAUAUUUCUGUCAGUAUCUCAGUGGAAAUGCAUCCUACAGACAACGUUCUGACAUUGUCGGAAUCUGUAGAGUCUCAGUCUUGUUUGCCUCCCUCCACAAGAUCUUACUCAGAACGGGAGUCACAUGCCUAUGAAUAGAGAAGCGCCACACGGGUCAUCUGUUGCUAUACAGUAUCUCCGCACAUUCAAUAUAUGCAU
Molecule: long non-coding RNA, 1431 nt
Organism: Hippoglossus stenolepis (Pacific halibut)
Lineage: Eukaryota; Metazoa; Chordata; Actinopteri; Pleuronectiformes; Pleuronectidae
Exons: 3
Source: RefSeq, a predicted model, not a curated record